This 325-nucleotide ribosomal RNA is filed under the name Staphylococcus felis. RNAcentral's name for it is "bacterial LSU rRNA". It matches the Rfam family "Bacterial large subunit ribosomal RNA", at positions 1 to 324 of the family's 2925-position model. The record is from RNAcentral. Lineage: Bacteria; Bacillati; Bacillota; Bacilli; Caryophanales; Staphylococcaceae.
AGAUUAAGUUAUAAAGGGCGCACGGUGGUUGCCAUGACACUAGAAGCCGAUGAAGUACGUUACUAACGGCGAUCUGCUUCUGGGAGCGGUAAUUAAGCUUUUAUCCAGAGAUUUCCGAAUGGGGGAACCCAGCACGAGUUAUUUCGUGUUAUCCGCAUGUGAAUACAUAGCAUGUGAGAAGGUAGACCCGGAGAACUGAAACAUCUUAGUAACCGGAGGAAGAGAAAGAAAAAUCGAUUCCCUGAGUAGCGGCGAGCGUAACGGGAAGAGCCCAAACCAACAAGCUUACUUGUUGGGGGUGUAGGACACUCUUAUGGAGGUACAA